AUUCCAGCUCCAGUAGCGUAUAUUAAAGUUGUUGCAGUUAAAAAGCUCGUAGUUGGAUUUCUGGCUUGAGACGCCUGAGCCGCCAGGGUUACCUGUGUGAGUCUCGGUGUGUCUCUGCCAUCCUUCUGGAUAGCGUGUCUACCUUUUAUUAGGCCGGGCUCGUGCUCCAGAUCUUUUACUUUGAAAAAAUUAGAGUGUUUAAAGCAAGCUUGCGCUAUGAAUACAUUAGCAUGGAAUAAUAACUUAGGACUUUGGUUCUAUUUUGUUGGUUUCUAGGACUGAAGUAAUGAUUGAUAGGGAUAGUUGGGGGUGCUAGUAUUCAGCGGCCAGAGGUGAAAUUCUUGGAUUCGCUGAAGACUAACAUAUGCGAAAGCAUUCACCAAGGAUGUCUUCAUCG
This 397-nucleotide ribosomal RNA is filed under the name Thecofilosea sp. RNAcentral describes it as "partial small subunit ribosomal RNA". It matches the Rfam family "Eukaryotic small subunit ribosomal RNA", at positions 582 to 975 of the family's 1831-position model. The record is from RNAcentral. Lineage: Eukaryota; Cercozoa; Thecofilosea.